AGUUCGGACUGGAGUCUGNAACCCGACUCCACGAAGUUGGAUUCGCUAGUAAUCGCGCAUCAGCCAUGGCGCGGUGAAUACGUUCCCGGGCCUUGUACACACCGCCCGUCAAGCCAUGGGAGCCGGGGGCGCCUGAAGUCCGGGACCGCGAGGACCGGCCUAGGGCGAAACUGGUAACUGGGGCUAAGUCGUAACAAGGUAAC
Molecule: ribosomal RNA, 203 nt
Filed under: uncultured bacterium
Lineage: Bacteria
Description: partial 16S ribosomal RNA
Rfam family: Bacterial small subunit ribosomal RNA
Source: RNAcentral